GCAGGCUUAACACAUGCAAGUCGAGGGGUAUAGGUUUUCGGACCUAGAGACCGGCGCACGGGUGCGUAACGCGUAUGCAAUCUACCUUUUACAGAGGGAUAGCCCAGAGAAAUUUGGAUUAAUACCUCAUAGUAUUAUUGAAUGGCAUCAUUUAAUAAUUAAAGUCACAACGGUAAAAGAUGAGCAUGCGUCCCAUUAGCUUGUUGGUAAGGUAACGGCUUACCAAGGCAACGAUGGGUAGGGGUCCUGAGAGGGAGAUCCCCCACACUGGUACUGAGACACGGACCAGACUCCUACGGGAGGCAGCAGUGAGGAAUAUUGGUCAAUGGGCGCAAGCCUGAACCAGCCAUGCCGCGUGCAGGAUGAAGCAUCUAUGGUGUGUAAACUGCUUUUGUACGAGAAGAAACACUCCUUCGUGAAGGAGCUUGACGGUAUCGUAAGAAUAAGGACCGGCUAACUCCGUGCCAGCAGCCGCGGUAAUACGGAGGGUCCAAGCGUUAUCCGGAAUCAUUGGGUUUAAAGGGUCCGUAGGCGGUUUUGUAAGUCAGUGGUGAAAGCCCAUCGCUCAACGGUGGAACGGCCAUUGAUACUGCAAGACU
RNAcentral lists this ribosomal RNA (599 nucleotides) under uncultured earthworm cast bacterium. Its description in RNAcentral is "bacterial SSU rRNA". It matches the Rfam family "Bacterial small subunit ribosomal RNA", at positions 42 to 642 of the family's 1533-position model. The record is from RNAcentral.